RNAcentral lists this ribosomal RNA (437 nucleotides) under uncultured bacterium. Its description in RNAcentral is "partial 16S ribosomal RNA". It matches the Rfam family "Bacterial small subunit ribosomal RNA", at positions 29 to 507 of the family's 1533-position model. The record is from RNAcentral.
AGCGAACGCUGGCGGCAGACUUAACACAUGCAAGUCGAGCGGGCACCUUUCGGGGUGUCAGCGGCGGACGGGUGAGUAACGCGUGGGAACGUGCCCUCUGGUUCGGAAUAACUCAGGGAAACUUGAGCUAAUACCGGAUACGCCCUUUUGGGGAAAGGCUUGCUGCCGGAGGAUCGGCCCGCGUCUGAUUAGCUAGUUGGUGAGGUAACGGCUCACCAAGGCGACGAUCAGUAGCUGGUCUGAGAGGAUGAUCAGCCACACUGGGACUGAGACACGGCCCAGACUCCUACGGGAGGCAGCAGUGGGGAAUAUUGGACAAUGGGCGCAAGCCUGAUCCAGCCAUGCCGCGUGAGUGAUGAAGGCCUUAGGGUUGUAAAGCUCUUUUAUCCGGGACGAUAAUGACGGUACCGGAGGAAUAAGCCCCGGCUAACUUCGUG